The sequence is a transfer RNA, 100 nucleotides long. It matches the Rfam family "tRNA". Rfam says of the family: Transfer RNA (tRNA) molecules are approximately 80 nucleotides in length. Their secondary structure includes four short double-helical elements and three loops (D, anti-codon, and T loops).
GCCCAGGUGGCGGAACCAGGUUAACGCGCACAGAUUUUCGCGCACGGCUGGAGACCGUGUGGGACUUUGUCCCGUCUGGGUUCAAAUCCCAGCCUGGGCG